This 253-nucleotide ribosomal RNA is filed under the name uncultured bacterium. RNAcentral describes it as "partial 16S ribosomal RNA". It matches the Rfam family "Bacterial small subunit ribosomal RNA", at positions 524 to 776 of the family's 1533-position model. The record is from RNAcentral.
UACAGAGGUCCCAAGCGUUGUUCGGAUUCAUUGGGCGUAAAGGGUGCGUAGGUGGCGUCGUAAGUCGGGUGUGAAAUCUCGGGGCUUAACUCCGAAACUGCAUUCGAUACUGCGGUGCUUGAGGACUGGAGAGGAGACUGGAAUUUACGGUGUAGCAGUGAAAUGCGUAGAGAUCGUAAGGAAGACCAGUGGCGAAGGCGGGUCUCUGGACAGUUCCUGACGCUGAGGCACGAAGUCCAGGGGAGCAAACGGG